UACGUAGGGUGCGAGCGUUGUCCGGAAUUAUUGGGCGUAAAGAGCUCGUAGGCGGUUUGUCGCGUCGGCCGUGAAAACUUGGGGCUUAACUCCAAGCUUGCGGUCGAUACGGGCAGACUUGAGUUCGGCAGGGGAGACUGGAAUUCCUGGUGUAGCGGUGAAAUGCGCAGAUAUCAGGAGGAACACCGGUGGCGAAGGCGGGUCUCUGGGCCGACACUGACGCUGAGUGCGCGAAAGCCAGGGGAGCAAACGGG
Molecule: ribosomal RNA, 254 nt
Filed under: uncultured bacterium
Lineage: Bacteria
Description: partial 16S ribosomal RNA
Rfam family: Bacterial small subunit ribosomal RNA
Source: RNAcentral